GGGGAUAUAGCUCAGUGGUAGAACUUGUGCUUAGCAUACACCAGGUCCUGGGUUCAAUUCCAAGUACCUCCA
This 72-nucleotide transfer RNA is filed under the name Camelus bactrianus (Bactrian camel). It matches the Rfam family "tRNA". From Rfam's summary of the family: Transfer RNA (tRNA) molecules are approximately 80 nucleotides in length. The record is from Rfam by way of RNAcentral. RNAcentral also lists the same sequence under 2 other names. Lineage: Eukaryota; Metazoa; Chordata; Mammalia; Artiodactyla; Camelidae.